CGGACGGGUGAGUAAUGUCUGGAACUGCCCGAGUGGAGGGGAUAACUACUGGAAACGGUAGCUAAUACCGCAUAACGUCGCAAGACCAAAGAGGGGACCUUAGGGCCUCUUGCCAUCGGAUGUGCCCAGAUGGGAUUAGCUAGUAGGUGGGGUAAUGGCUCACCUAGGCGACGAUCCCUAGCUGGUCUGAGAGGAUGACCAGCCACACUGGAACUGAGACACGGUCCAG
Molecule: ribosomal RNA, 229 nt
Filed under: uncultured bacterium
Lineage: Bacteria
Description: partial 16S ribosomal RNA
Rfam family: Bacterial small subunit ribosomal RNA
Source: RNAcentral